Molecule: ribosomal RNA, 483 nt
Filed under: uncultured Haliscomenobacter sp.
Lineage: Bacteria; Pseudomonadati; Bacteroidota; Saprospiria; Saprospirales; Haliscomenobacteraceae
Description: bacterial SSU rRNA
Rfam family: Bacterial small subunit ribosomal RNA
Source: RNAcentral
AGAGUUUGAUCCUGGCUCAGGAUGAACGCUAGCGGGAGGCUUAAUACAUGCAAGUCGAGGGAGAAUUGGUCUUCGGACCAAGGAAACCGGCGCACGGGUGAGUAACGCGUACACAACUUGCCCCUAACUGGGGAAUAGCCCUGGGAAACUGGGAUUAAUACCCCAUAAUAUUGACGAGUCUCAUGAAAUGUCAAUUAAAGUUCCGGCGGUUAGGGACGGGUGUGCGUCUGAUUAGCUAGUUGGUAGGGUAACGGCCUACCAAGGCUACGAUCAGUAGGGGGCGUGAGAGCGUGAUCCCCCACACGGGUACUGAGACACGGACCCGACUCCUACGGGAGGCAGCAGUAAGGAAUAUUGGACAAUGGAGGCAACUCUGAUCCAGCCAUCCCGCGUGUAGGAAGAAGGCCCUAUGGGUUGUAAACUACUUUUGUCAGGGAAUAAACCUCUCGAUUUACUCGGGAGCUGAAGGUACCUGAAGAAUAG